This 391-nucleotide ribosomal RNA is filed under the name uncultured bacterium. RNAcentral describes it as "bacterial SSU rRNA". It matches the Rfam family "Bacterial small subunit ribosomal RNA", at positions 29 to 415 of the family's 1533-position model. The record is from RNAcentral.
AAUGAACGCUGGCGGCGCGCCUAAUACAUGCAAGUCGAGCGAGAAGACGUAGCAAUACGUUUGUAAAGCGGCGAACGGGUGAGGAAUACAUGGGUAACCUACCCUAGAGUGGGAAUAACUAGCCGAAAGGUUAGCUAAUACCGCGUACGCUCCUUGGACUUCGGUUCAGGGAGGAAAGCGAUGCCGAGGGUAUCGCGCUCUUGGAUGGGCUCAUGUCCUAUCAGCUUGNGGUGAGGUAACGGCUCACCAAGGCUUCGACGGGUAGCUGGUCUGAGAGGACGAUCAGCCACACUGGCACUGCGACACGGGCCAGACUCCUACGGGAGCAGCAGUAAGGAUAUUGCGCAAUGGGCAAAGCCUGACGCAGCGACGCCGCGUGGGGGAUGAAGUC